Molecule: unclassified non-coding RNA, 381 nt
Filed under: fungal sp.
Lineage: Eukaryota; Fungi
Description: partial internal transcribed spacer region
Rfam family: Eukaryotic small subunit ribosomal RNA (bases 1-46)
Source: RNAcentral
AAGUCGUAACAAGGUUUCCGUAGGUGAACCUGCGGAAGGAUCAUUAACACGUUAUCCAACGUUAACCAAAGUCAAUUGUUUUCACCCUCCCUUUACGGAGAAUGAGCGGGGCCAACACAGGAAUUGAAAGGGAUGAUUCGUCGUCAAGCCUGUGAACGCUAUUUUUGGUUUAUUCCAAUAACGCUGUAUCUUUUGUGAAGAUUCAUCUUACAACCUUGUUCUCCUUUCAUUGAGCGCUGUUGUAGGAACUAUAUUCACUUAUUUCACCUUUUUUGCUAGUUGACUUUUAUAUGUUGUUCUUUGCGCUUUUGCGUAAGGUUCACACGUUUAAUUAUUUGAACGUUAAAAUUACAACUCUUAGCAAUGGAUAUCUUGGUUCUC